RNAcentral lists this long non-coding RNA (2535 nucleotides) under Fragaria vesca (wild strawberry). RNAcentral describes it as "long non-coding RNA (FVES_LNC000357)". The record is from RNAcentral. Lineage: Eukaryota; Viridiplantae; Streptophyta; Magnoliopsida; Rosales; Rosaceae.
AGGGAAAGUGGUCGGGGACGCUAGUGGAGUCUUCUGGGGUGGAGGCGCGCCGUCGUCGACGCCGAAGGAUGGAGAACGGACGGACGUCCGCACUUUAAGCCGAGUGCGGACGUCCGCUUCACAUCCCUGUUGUAUAUAUAUACACAGAGAGGAUCUAAAGAGGACGUCCGCACAUCUUUAAAGUGCGGACGUCCCUCCGUUCUCCUCCGUACGGCUCCGACGACGGUGUGCCUCCACCCCAACGGCCUCCAGCAGCGUUUUCGAUCACUUUCCCUCCCCGGCGAGUCCUCCGAAUUCUAGUUUUCCGGUGAGAUCACCCAAAACUUCAAACAAAAUCAAUCUUGCCGAAAAAAUGGAAUUCGGCGGACUCACCGGGGAGGAAAAGCGAUCGGGGACACUGCUGGAGGCCGCUGGGGUGGAGGCGCCGCGUCGUCGGCGCCGUACUGUGGAGAAAUGAGGCACGUCCGCACUUUAAGGUGUGCUGACGUCUGCCUCUGAUCCCGACUAUAUAUAUAUAUAUAGUUUAAUUUCAGAGUGAAGCUUCGCUCUGAAAUUAAAGUGUGAAGUUUCUUAUUUGACUCACUUUUUGGUCAUAUUUUCAUAUCUCCACCGUUCUCUUUAUUGAUACUAAUGCAUAGAUCAUUCAUGCAAAAUUUCAUUCAAAUUAAUGAUCGUUUAGGUACGGAAUUAGGUUAAAUCAAUGAACGGACCAUAAACCUACCUGACCAGUACUAUGUGUGUAUAUCACGAUUAUGAACACCCAAACGACCAUCAAAUUCGAUGAAAUUUUGCAGGAAUGAUCUAUGCAUUAGUAUCAAUAAAGAAAACGGUGGAGAUGUGAAAAUAUGACCGAAAAGUGAGUCAAAUAAAAAACUUCACACUUUAAUUUCAGAGCGAAGCUUCGCUCUGGAUUGGAACUAUAUAUACACACACACACACACACACACACAUAUACAGUCGGGAUCAGAGACGGACGUCCGCACACCCUUAAAGUGCGGGCGUCCCUCUGUUCUCCACCGUACGGCUNNNNNNNNNNNNNNNNNNNNAGAGAGAGAGAGAGAGGAGAGGGNGGGGGGGGUUUGGGAGGAAUUAAGCCUAAAUCUUUAAUACAAAGGCCUAAAACAAUAUCAGAAAUCUUUACAUCAAACAUGUAUUCAAACAUGCACCAACUAGCAGGGAGUGUUUUAAUGGCUACUUCAUUUGUUUUUAUAUAGCGGUGACAUAAUGGAAAGAUCGCUGGACAUGCAACUCAAUUACAUUUUUUGAGGAAAAUAAACCAGCUUUCCAACUAUUUUGUCGCCGGAAGAUAGAUCCAACGACACUCGGCUUCACCCUACCACAUGACCAUUUGACAAAUCUAGACGCCCCUAUAAUUGUGGGAGGUCCUAGACACCAGCCUAGUUGGUCUUGCCUCAAGGCCGGCCAUGCUUGACCCUACUACCAGACGGCCACGACCAUUUGACAAAGCAAUGAACUCGUUGCAUACCUAGAGCAGACAAGACACAAAGAGUGCACACACAAGCACGAAACCUACAUAGCCCUAUAUUUUUAAAGUAGAGACUUAUUACUCGCCUAAGGCGCAAUUUAUUAACUAGAUAGUAAAAAGAAAAAACUAUAAAGAAAACAACUAUGAUCAGGCCCAAACAUUGAACCCAAAUCCGACAGCCCAGCAAGACAAUAUCCAAGCCCACAAAAUGAGGGAAUCAAGCAGGCCAUAUCCAUCCUUCCCAGCUAAUACAACCACUGCAUUAGACCUGCCCUACCACCACGUACAACUGCCACCCCACCGACGCGUUAGCACCCAAUCCACCACCCCACUGCAGGCGUUGGACUUCCACCGCCAUUGUGACACCACAUAUUCCUCCAAACAUCCCAGAUUCAUAACCCGAUCUUAGCUCCAGAAGGCGGCCAUUGUCCUUCUAGACACGUCUAGAAAUUUGGCCAGUGAACCACCAAUCUCUACGCACCCUCCGAUCAUCGCGAGUCGGCGUUCCAAAUCUGCUAUGGCCUACCUCCAGUCUAAUACCCAUCCACCCUAACACCACCCAUGAUGCAGCAUUCUCCAGGCAACUGAUACGCCCACCAUAGGUACACCCCGUUCGGCCACAAUCAUUGUGCGCCGACACGGCCAGAGGCCGACACUAGCGCCGCGGCGCAGCCGGACAAGGACAAGAAAAGAUUGACGCAACUUCUCUUGGUUUUCAACGCGUGAGGCGCGUUUAUCACUUUAGUUCUGAAAACUAAGUCAUUGCAGUAAUACUGUUUCGAAACAAUGUUAGUAUUAGUUUCCAACAUAGCUCAUGAAACACAUCUCUCUUCUCAUACAAAUUAUAUAAGAUCGUAUGGGUACGUAAAAUUACAAAAAAAAAAUAAAAAAUUAUAUCAAAAAUAAAGAAACCUAGUUAAAGUAUAAUAUCUUGCUUAAGAGUUUUCUUCUCCAAUAUGAGAACAACGUAAGUGAAGAUGCAAAGCCCUAAUUAGAAAUAGCUAGCGACAUAUAUAUAUAUAUAUAUAUGUAUAUAUAUAGUCCGGNNN